Molecule: microRNA precursor, 187 nt
Filed under: Oryza rufipogon (brownbeard rice)
Lineage: Eukaryota; Viridiplantae; Streptophyta; Magnoliopsida; Poales; Poaceae
Description: MIR812 microRNA precursor family
Rfam family: MIR812 microRNA precursor family
Source: Rfam by way of RNAcentral
AAUAGAUGACGCUGUUGACUUUUUCUCACAUGUUUGACCAUUCGUCUUAUUCAAAAAAUUUACGUAAUUAAGUUGUUUUAUCACUCAUAGUACUUUAAGUGUGAUUUAUAUCUUAUACAUUUGCAUAAAAUUUUUGAAUAAGAUGAAUGAUUAAACAUGUGAGGAAAAGUCAAUGGCGUCAUCUAUU